Molecule: ribosomal RNA, 497 nt
Filed under: uncultured bacterium
Lineage: Bacteria
Description: partial 16S ribosomal RNA
Rfam family: Bacterial small subunit ribosomal RNA
Source: RNAcentral
GAUGAACGCUGGCGGCGUGCCUAAUACAUGCAAGUCGAGCGGACGGACGCGAAGCUUGCUUCUCUGAUGUUAGCGGCGGACGGGUGAGUAACACGUGGAUAACCUACCUAUCAGACUGGUAUAACUUCGGGAAACCGGAGCUAAUACCGGAUGAUAUUUUGAACCGCAUGGUUCAAAAGUGAAAGACGGUCUUGCUGUCACUUAUAGCUGGAUCCGCGCUGCAUUAGCUAGUUGGUAAGGUAACGGCUUACCAAGGCAACGAUGCAUAGCCGACCUGAGAGGGGGAUAGCCCACACUGGAGCGGAGACACGGUCCAGAGUACUACGGGAGGCAGCAGUAGGGAAUCUUCCGCAAUGGGCGAAAGCCUGACGGAGCAACGCCGAGUGAGUGAUGAAGGUCUUCGGAUCGGAAAACUCUGUUAUUAGGGAAGAACAUAUGUGGAAGGAACUGUGCACAUCUUGACGGUAACUAAUAAGAAAGCAACGGCUAACUACGUG